Molecule: long non-coding RNA, 1128 nt
Filed under: Oryzias javanicus (javanese ricefish)
Lineage: Eukaryota; Metazoa; Chordata; Actinopteri; Beloniformes; Adrianichthyidae
Description: lncRNA (ENSOJAG00000000421.1)
Source: RNAcentral
AGAGACGGUUCUUCCUGAGAACCCUCAGGAAGUGCAGACGCUGCUGAGCCUUUUUGAUGACGGCUGUGGUGGUGGCUGUCCAAGAGAGGUCAUCUGAGAUGAGGACGCCGAGGAACCUGAUGGUGCGGACCCUCUCCACAAGCUCGCCGUUGAUGUGUAGGGGGGCGGGGUCGGUGCUCUGCUUCCUGAAGUCGAUGAUGACUUCCCUGGUCUUUUUGGUGUUCAGAGUGAGGUUGUUCUCUGAAGACCAGGUUGCCAGAUUCAGGACCUCCUCCCUGUAGGCAGACUCCUCCCCUCUGGAGAUAAGUCCAACCACUGUGGUGUCGUCGGCGAAUUUUAUGAUCCGGUUAUUGUGGUGGGCUGGACUACAGCCAUAGGUGUAAUCUGAUGGGAUUAAUUUUGCAGGUUUUAUAAUCCGAACCCCAUUUGGCAGAGAUCUGGGACCAAGGAGAAACUGGCAUCGGCGCUCGAAAAAGUUGAUAACAUGUAGGUUUUGACCUCCUUUGUGACGUUAAAUUCUAUUUACAGAUUAUGUUUGACUUCAUCUCGUCUUCACAGGACACUCGAUGCUCCACAACUUCCAGUCGAUCACGCCUUUGGAAUCGUUUCGUCUGCGGAUUCCAUCGGAGCUGGAGAAAUAAUCCACCGCACAGAUCCGGGUCAGCACAGCAGCGGUCCGCUCCAAGCGCUGAGGCACCGCCUCAAGAACCUCAACCUGCAGAACUUUCCCUCUGUGACGAAGGCCUUCCAACAUUACGACAAGGUAGGAGCAAAAACCCAUUCACACUUCAGUUCUUUGCUGUUCUAACAGUGGAACACACAGAGGAUUAACUGUGGUUCAUGAAGGUCAGAUCGCUGUCCAAAUCUUCUUCUGUGAAUCACCAGAAAAGAAAAGAUCGAUCGACACAGACGACCUGAAGGCCGUCUUCCGGGAGUUCCUGCUGGACGUGAACCCAGCGGUUCUGGAUCAGCUCCUGGCCUGCUGCGGCGCCGACGGAGACGGGCUCAUCAGCUUCACCCAGUUCUCCAACUUCCUCAACUGGAAGGGCUUCAUGCCCCUUCACAGCCAGAAGCCGCGGGGUCGACGGAAAGGUCGGCGAGCCGCAGAGAAAGAGUUUUGUUCUCUAU